RNAcentral lists this ribosomal RNA (119 nucleotides) under Pteropus alecto (black flying fox). Lineage: Eukaryota; Metazoa; Chordata; Mammalia; Chiroptera; Pteropodidae. The record is from RNAcentral.
GUCUAUGGCCAUGCUACCCUGAACAAGCCCGAUCCCAUCUGAUCUCGGAAGCUGAGCAGGGUCAGGCCUGGUUAGUACUUGGAUGGGAGACCACCUAGGAAGACCAGUUGCUGUAGGCG